This 467-nucleotide ribosomal RNA is filed under the name uncultured bacterium. RNAcentral describes it as "partial 16S ribosomal RNA". It matches the Rfam family "Bacterial small subunit ribosomal RNA", at positions 28 to 507 of the family's 1533-position model. The record is from RNAcentral.
GACGAACGCUGGCGGCGUGCUUACCACAUGCAAGUCGAACGGAAAGGCUCCAGCUUGCUGGAGUACUCGAGUGGCGAACGGGUGAGUAACACGUGGGUAAUCUGCCCUGCACUCUGGGAUAAGCCUGGGAAACUGGGUCUAAUACUGGAUAUGACCUUUCUCCUUAUGGGGUUUGGUGGAAAGUUUUUCGGUGUAGGAUGAGCCCGCGGCCUAUCAGCUUGUUGGUGGGGUGAUGGCCUACCAAGGCGACGACGGGUAGCCGGCCUGAGAGGGUGAUCGGCCACAUUGGGACUGAGAUACGGCCCAGACUCCUACGGGAGGCAGCAGUGGGGAAUAUUGCACAAUGGGCGGAAGCCUGAUGCAGCGACGCCGCGUGAGGGAUGACGGCCUUCGGGUUGUAAACCUCUUUCAGCAGGGACGAAGCGUAAGUGACGGUACCUGCAGAAGAAGCACCGGCUAACUAUGUG